AGAGAUUGGAGAGAGACAGGAGAGAGACAUGUUUUCAUCUAUCCUUUGUGGACUUCUGUUGUUUUUACUGCUGUGAAAUUUGACUUGCGAUAUCUGCUUAAAGCAAUGAAGAGAAAAGCUGAAGUCAGUGAUUAGGAGUGUCUGUGUAAGUAAAAGCAACAGGCAAUUACUGAGUGUGGUGUGAGAGGCACGGAAAGAUUGGGAAUUCAGCAAGAAGAGGAAUUGAAGUCAAACCUCACCUACUUCCCAGAGUCUUCUGGAUUUUCUGUUAGAAGCUUCAGUAUCUGAGAUAUUCCUAUGCAUUCUACUGCUUUAAUCCCACCUAAGUAGAGAUGUCCACAACAGAGAGAAUGGAGCUGUCACAUCGUUUCAACUGCCCAGGUAGUUCCUACUGGAUGAAUGGGAUUGUCACCUUCACACCUGCUAGAGGCUUGGAGCAUGCAAGAGUUUUUUUAAAUGGCUUCACCUUUCUUAUGAAAAUGCAACCACUAGUACUCUUCCAAUAAAAGCUUUUCUCAAGUGAAAGGACUCAGGCAACAAAUAAACAGCUAAGAUUUUACUAGAGUAUGAAAGGGAGAGCACUGGAGUGCAGUGCGGGGAUGGAGAUGCAGCUGUGGUGGCUGGAAGUACAGGAGGGCAGCUGGAGGCACCUGGCCUCUGAAGCCUGUCUUCUUCAUCUGGGUGAGAUCUGCUGGAGUCAGGAAGGACUUCCUGCUGCAAGGAUAAAGGUAAGCAGAAGAUCUCCACCAGUGCCCACUGCCAUCACAAACACCUACAAUCCUUAUAGCAGGUGAAUCCAGCAGUCCUCACAAGUCCUGAGACAGGUUUGGAGUCUUGCUGGGAAUUCACACAGCUGCAUUGUCCUAGAUUAGGAGAACAAGGUGUGGACCCCCAACCCUCUAUUCAUCCCCUGUGAGCCAUGGUGCUAUAGCAUGGCACCAUACUGAGACCAGAGCUACUUCUGCAGUGUGCCCUGCUCUGAGGGCCAGUAGCCACUUCACCUCUCCAGCACUUGGGCUCCAUCUUCAUUCCACCAAGCCCAUAUGGGAAGCUGAACACCUCAAUCCCAGAUUCGUAAAGCAUGGGCCAAGGAUGGGCUGUGGCUCUGGUCCUGUUCUGUUCAGGGUGAACCUGCCCUUGAGCUGGCCAAACUGCUGCAUACCCUCCCCAAAGCAGGAGAGGCCCCCAAGCCUGUGAGCAGCUGAUAUGCUCCAGGGCCAGUGAAGUGGCUAUGUGCUUGCACCCAGGAACUGAGAAACAGUCCCACAGCACACCUGCACCCUCCAGAGAGAGCCCUGGCCUGCCCCAGUGGCCCUGUAUCCCCAUUCAGGGCCUGAGAAACAAUUCCUCAGGCCACUCUUGGCAGGUAUGAUACUAAGCUGACCAAAUAGCCAAAAACACCUAUCCCAGACCUGAGUAUCAGCCCUGUGGGCCAAUCCAGGUGGACAUGCCCCAGGCUGGCCAAGCAGCCAUGUACCCACAUUCCGGGCCUGAGAAACAGUUUUUUGGGCUGCUGUUGGUGAGGACACCCCUGAGCCAACCAAGCAUCCUUGCAAUUGUGUUUCAGACCUAAGAAGCAUCAUGACCUGAGAAACAGUUUCACAGGCCACUCUUGGCAGGUGAAGUGUGGUGGCGUAAUCAUGACUCACUGCAGCCUCGAACUCCGGGACUCAAGCUAAUCUCUUUCCUCAGCCUUCCCAGCAGCUGGGACUACAGAAUCCCACCCAUCCUAAGGCAUUACAUUUAGUCAUCAUAGCUCUUUCUUCACAGAAUUAGAAAAAACUACUUUAAAUUUCAUAUGGAACCAAAAAAGAGCCCAUAUAGCCAAGAAAAUCUUAAGCAAAAAGAACAAAGAUGGAGGCAUCAUGCUAACUGACUUCAAACUAUACUACAAGGCUACAGUAACCAAAACAGCAUGGUACUGGUGCCAAAACAGAUAUAUAGACCAAUGGAAUAGAACAGAGGCCUCAGAAAAACGUCACCCAUCUACAACCAUCUGAUCUUCAACAAAUCUGACAAAAACAAAUAAUGGGGAAGAAAUUCUGUAUUUAAUAAAUGAUCUUGGGAAAACUGGCUAGCCACAUGCAGAAAACUGAAGCUGGGCUCCUUCCUUACACCUUAUACAAAAAUUAACUCAAGAUGGAUUAAAGACUUAAACGUAAGACCUAAAACCAUAGAAACCCUAGAAGAAUACCUAGGCAAUACCAUUGAGGACACAGACAUGGGCAAAUGACUAAAGCAACAAAAGCCAAAAUUGACAAAUGGGAGCUAAUUAAACUAAAGAGCUUCUGAACAGCAAAAGAAACUAUCAUCAGAGUGAACAGGCAACCUACAGAAUGGGAGAAAAUUUUUGCAAUCUAUCCACCUGACAAAGGGCUAAUAUCCAGAAUCUACAAAUAACUUAAACAAAUUUACAAGAAAAAAAACAAACAACCCCAUCAAGAAGUGGGUGAAGGAUAUGAAAAGACACUUCUCAAAAGAAGACAUUUAUGUGGCCAACAAACAUGAAAAAAAGCUCAUCAUCACUGGGCAUUAGAGAAAUGCAAAUCAAAACCACAAUGAGAUACCAUCUCACGCCAGUUAGAAUGGCGAUCUUUAAAAAGUCAGGAAACAACAGAUGCUGGAGAGGAUGUGGAGAGAUAGGAAUGCUUUUACACUGUUGGUAGGAGUGUAAAUUAGUUCAGCAAUUGUGGAAGACUGUGUGGAGAUUCCUCAAGGAUCUAGAACCAGAAAUGCCAUUUGACCGAGCAAUCCCAUUACUGGCUAUAUACCCAAAGGAUUAUAAAUCAUUCUACUAUAGAGACACAUCCACCUGUAUGUUGAUUGCAGCACUGUUCACAAUAGCAAAGACUUGGAACCAAUGCAAAUGCCCAUCAAUGAUCGGCUGGAUAAAGAAAAUGUGGCACAUAUACACCGUGAAAUACUAUGUAGCCAUAAAAAAGGAUGAGUUCAUGUCCUUUGCAGGGAUAUGGAUGAAGCUGGAAACCAUCAUUCUCUGCAAACUAAUACAGGAACAGAAUGCCAAACACCACAUGUUCUCACUCAUAAGUGGGAGUUGAACAAUGAGAACACAUGAAUACCGGGAGGGAACAUCACACACCAGGGCCUGUCAGAGGGUCGGGGGCUAGGGAAGGGAUAGCAUUAGGAGAAAUACCUAAUGUAGAUUAUGGGUUGAUGGGUGCAGCAAACCACCAUGGCACAUGUAUAGCUAUGUAACAAACCUGCACGUUCUACACAUGUAUCCCAGAACUUAAAGCAUAAGUAAAAUAAAAAAAUAAUUAAAUGAGGAAGAAGAGUCAAAUUUUUGUGCAGAAAAAUUUGAAAGAAUUUAUGUAGAUACUACUUCCUCAAUGAGGAAGAGCAUAACUCUAUGCUCUUUAAGUCGGACAUGAACAUACUCAUUUCUUUCAAAAGAGUACAAUAUGAAAAGAGGGAAAAAGAAUAACUGUACAGUAAAGAAACCUGACAAUUGCUACCUUGGCCAAGUGACCCAGGUCAACAUCAACAGUGAUAGUGACGUUUAUGUCAUGUCCACUUGAAAUGAUGUGAUUAAAAAAAGGCACUUUACCUCUGUGUUCUUCUUCCUAUUCCCAUAAUUCCAG
Molecule: long non-coding RNA, 3602 nt
Filed under: Homo sapiens (human)
Lineage: Eukaryota; Metazoa; Chordata; Mammalia; Primates; Hominidae
Description: PREDICTED lncRNA (TCONS_00209332)
Source: RNAcentral